CCAAUAGCGUAUAUUAAAGUUGCUGCAGUUAAAAAGCUCGUAGUUGAAUUUCGGGACCAAUAUGUCGGUCGUGCUUUUGUACGUACUGAUAUAAUUGGUUUCUCCCUUCUGAAGAACCUUGAUGUCAUUAAUUUGGUGUCUUGGGAAAUCAGGACUGUUACUUUGAAAAAAUUAGAGUGUUUAAAGCAGGCUCGCGCUUGAAUACAUUAGCAUGGAAUAA
This 220-nucleotide ribosomal RNA is filed under the name uncultured Glomus. RNAcentral's name for it is "partial small subunit ribosomal RNA". It matches the Rfam family "Eukaryotic small subunit ribosomal RNA", at positions 591 to 817 of the family's 1831-position model. Lineage: Eukaryota; Fungi; Glomeromycota; Glomeromycetes; Glomerales; Glomeraceae. The record is from RNAcentral.